RNAcentral lists this ribosomal RNA (490 nucleotides) under uncultured Alphaproteobacteria bacterium. RNAcentral describes it as "bacterial SSU rRNA". It matches the Rfam family "Bacterial small subunit ribosomal RNA", at positions 1 to 527 of the family's 1533-position model. Lineage: Bacteria; Pseudomonadati; Pseudomonadota; Alphaproteobacteria. The record is from RNAcentral.
UAGGGUUCGAUUCUGGCUCAGAACGAACGCUGGCGGCAGGCCUAACACAUGCAAGUCGAACGAAGGCCCGGAGCUUGCUCCGGUCACCUUAGUGGCGGACGGGUGAGUAACACGUGGGAAUUUGCCCAGGAGUGAGGAAUAACGUUUGGAAACGAACGCUAAUACCGCAUACACCCUACGGGGGAAAGGCUUCGGCCGCUCUUGGAUAAGCCCGCGUCAGAUUAGCUUGUUGGUGAGGUAACGGCUCACCAAGGCGACGAUCUGUAGCUGGUCUGAGAGGAUGAUCAGCCACACUGGGACUGAGACACGGCCCAGACUCCUACGGGAGGCAGCAGUGGGGAAUAUUGGACAAUGGGGGAAACCCUGAUCCAGCCAUGCCGCGUGAGUGAAGAAGGCCCUAGGGUUGUAAAACUCUUUCAGUCGUGACGAUGAUGACGGUAGCGACAGAAGAAGCCCCGGCUAACUCCGUGCCAGCCGCCGCGGUAAUACA